GAUGAACGCUGGCGGCGUGCUUAACACAUGCAAGUCGAACGAAGCAUUUGCGACAGAUUUUUUCGGAAUGAAGUUGCUUAUGACUGAGUGGCGGACGGGUGAGUAACGCGUGGGUAACCUGCCUUGUACUGGGGGAUAGCAGCUGGAAACGGCUGGUAAUACCGCAUAAGCGCACAAUGUUGCAUGACAUGGUGUGAAAAACUCCGGUGGGAUAAGAUGGACCUGCGUCUGAUUAGCUAGUUGGUGAGAUAACAGCCCACCAAGGCGACGAUCAGUAGCCGAGCUGAGAGGGUGACCGGCCACAUUGGGACUGGGACACGGCCCAGACUCCUGCGGGAGGGAGCAGUGGGGAAUAUUGCAAAAUGGAGGAAACUCUGAUGCAGCGACGCCGCGUGAGUGAAGAAGUAAUUCAUUAUGUAAAGCUCUAUCAGCAGGGAAGAUAGUGACGGUACCUGACUAAGAAGCUCCGGCUAACUACGUG
RNAcentral lists this ribosomal RNA (481 nucleotides) under uncultured bacterium. RNAcentral describes it as "partial 16S ribosomal RNA". It matches the Rfam family "Bacterial small subunit ribosomal RNA", at positions 28 to 507 of the family's 1533-position model. The record is from RNAcentral.